UAAUUGAAGAGUUUGAUCAUGGCUCAGAUUGAACGCUGGCGGCAGGCCUAACACAUGCAAGUCGGGCGGUAACAGGGAGAAGCUUGCUUCUCUGCUGACGAGCGGCGGACGGGUGAGUAAUGUAUGGGGAUCUGCCUGAUGGCGGGGGAUAACUACUGGAAACGGUAGCUAAUACCGCAUAAUGUCUU
RNAcentral lists this ribosomal RNA (188 nucleotides) under Morganella morganii. Its description in RNAcentral is "partial 16S ribosomal RNA". It matches the Rfam family "Bacterial small subunit ribosomal RNA", at positions 1 to 182 of the family's 1533-position model. Lineage: Bacteria; Pseudomonadati; Pseudomonadota; Gammaproteobacteria; Enterobacterales; Morganellaceae. RNAcentral also lists the same sequence under 1 other name. The record is from RNAcentral.